AGGACGAACGCUGGCGGCGUGCUUAACACAUGCAAGUCGAGCGGUAAGGCCCUUUCGGGGGUACACGAGCGGCGAACGGGUGAGUAACACGUGGGUGACCUGCCCUCAGCUCUGGGAUAAGCCCGGGAAACUGGGUCUAAUACCGGAUAUGACCACAUGUCGCAUGGUGUGUGGUGGAAAGUUUUUCGGCUGGGGAUGGGCCCGCGGCCUAUCAGCUUGGUUGGUGGGGUGAUGGCCUACCAAGGCGACGACGGGUAGCCGGCCUGAGAGGGCGACCGGCCACGACGUCGGGACUGAGACACGGCCCAGACUCACGGAGCAGCAGUGGGAUAUUGCGCAAUGGGCGAAGCCUGACGCAGCGACGCCGCGUGGGGAUGACGCCUUCGGUGUAACCUCUUCGACCUUGACGAAGUCCGUUCGGUGACGGUAGGGUUAGAGGAAACGCGAACCGGCCAACUCCGUACGCCAGGACACGCCGUCC
RNAcentral lists this ribosomal RNA (481 nucleotides) under uncultured soil bacterium. Its description in RNAcentral is "bacterial SSU rRNA". It matches the Rfam family "Bacterial small subunit ribosomal RNA", at positions 26 to 523 of the family's 1533-position model. The record is from RNAcentral.